This 348-nucleotide unclassified non-coding RNA is filed under the name soil metagenome. RNAcentral describes it as "partial contains 5.8S ribosomal RNA, internal transcribed spacer 2, and large subunit ribosomal RNA". The stretch from base 1 to 120 matches the Rfam family "5.8S ribosomal RNA", at positions 35 to 154 of the family's 154-position model. The record is from RNAcentral.
GAUGAAGAACGCAGCAAAAUGCGAUAAGUAAUGUGAAUUGCAGAAUUCAGUGAAUCAUCGAAUCUUUGAACGCACAUUGUGCCCGCUGGUAUUCCGGCGGGCAUGCCUGUUCGAGCGUCAUUUCAACCCUCAAGCCCCCGGGUUUGGUGUUGGGGAUCGGCUCUGCCCUUCUGGGCGGUGCCGCCCCCGAAAUACAUUGGCGGUCUCGCUGCAGCCUCCAUUGCGUAGUAGCUAACACCUCGCAACUGGAACGCGGCGCGGCCAUGCCGUAAAACCCCAACUUCUGAAUGUUGACCUCGGAUCAGGUAGGAAUACCCGCUGAACUUAAGCAUAUCAAUAAGCGGAGGA